AAAAUCCGUCGACUAUUAAAAAUCGUGAGGGUUCAAGUCCCUCUAUCCCCA
This 51-nucleotide transfer RNA is filed under the name Salvia bogotensis. RNAcentral's name for it is "partial tRNA-Leu". The record is from RNAcentral. Lineage: Eukaryota; Viridiplantae; Streptophyta; Magnoliopsida; Lamiales; Lamiaceae.